Molecule: ribosomal RNA, 371 nt
Filed under: uncultured bacterium
Lineage: Bacteria
Description: bacterial SSU rRNA
Rfam family: Bacterial small subunit ribosomal RNA
Source: RNAcentral
GUAGGGUGCGAGCGUUAAUCGGAAUUACUGGGCGUAAAGUGUGCGCAGGCGGCCGAGCAAGUCGAGCGUGAAAGCCCCGGGCUUAACUUGGGAAUUGCGCUCGAAACUACUUGGCUGGAGUGUGGCAGAGGAAGGUGGAAUUCCACGUGUAGCGGUGAAAUGCGUAGAGAUGUGGAGGAACACCAAUGGCGAAGGCAGCCUUCUGGGCCAACACUGACGCUCAUGCACGAAAGCGUGGGGAGCAAACAGGAUUAGAUACCCUGGUAGUCCACGCCCUAAACGAUGACGACUAGUUGUUGGAGGAGUUAAAUCCUUUAGUAACGCAGCUAACGCGCGAAGUCGUCCGCCUGGGGAGUACGGUCGCAAGAUUA